UACGUAGGGUGCAAGCGUUGUUCGGAAUCAUUGGGCGUAAAGCGCGUGUAGGCGGUUAGUUAAGUCGAUUGUGAAAUCCCUGGGCUCAACCGAGGAAGUGCAGUCGAAACUAACUAACUAGAGGACGGCAGAGGAAGGUGGAAUUCCAAGUGUAGAGGUGAAAUUCGUAGAUAUUUGGAGGAAUACCUGUGGCGAAGGCGGCCUUCUGGACCGGUCCUGACGCUGAGGCGCGAAAGCGUGGGGAGCAAACAGG
This 253-nucleotide ribosomal RNA is filed under the name uncultured bacterium. RNAcentral's name for it is "partial 16S ribosomal RNA". It matches the Rfam family "Bacterial small subunit ribosomal RNA", at positions 524 to 776 of the family's 1533-position model. The record is from RNAcentral.